UCCUGUCAGUUUCUGCUUCAUGUGUUUGGUGCUCUGCUGUUAGGUGCACACAAACCUAAGAUACUUCUCGUUUCCUGCUGAGUUGACCUUUCGUUAUUCUGUACUAUUUUUCAUCCCUGGAAAUUCUCCUUGCUCUGAAGUCUGCUCUCUCUCAUGUUAACUGAACCUUCGAGCUGUCUUUGAAUUAGUGUUUGUGUGGUGUCAUCAUUCAUUUCAUGAAUCAAUUUGGCUGGGCCGCAGUGCCAAGAGUUGUGGUCAAGUAUUAUUCUGGAUGUUUCUAGGAGGAGACUUUGGAUGAGAUACACUUAAAUGGAUGAACUUUGAGUAAAGCAGACUGCCCUCCACAAUGUGGGUGGGCCCCUCCAAUCAGUUGAAGGCUGAGCAGGAGCAACGACUGACCUCCCCUGAGCAAGAAAGAAUUCUACAGCAGAUGGCCAUUGGACUAGAACUAUAGCACUGACUCUUCCUUGUGUCUCCUCCUGACGACCCUGGACUUGAAACCCAGCAGCAGAUCUUCCCUGCUUCUCAGCCUGGCUCACCCGCCCUGCAGGCUCUAGACUCACCAGGCUCUAUAAUAAUAAGUUUCUGAAGAAAAUGCUGUUUACAACAGUAAAAGGCCGGCUGGAAAGGAGAGAAAGGUUGAUAGACACUGACACGCAUGUGCCCAGUGGCCGUGGUCCAGCUGCAGCAUGGCUCUUCAUUUGCCGCACAGCCAGAGAUGACCUACUCAGAGCUGCCCACGUGGUUCUGCCAAGAGAAGCUCCAGGGUCUCCUGUGUCAGACUCGCUCAGUGUGCAUCCAGCCAUGGGAACUCAGCUGUGCUGUGGUCAUAGCUGCUAGGAUCAUGUCUCACUCCGUCUGCCCUCAUGCUGAUCUCCCAUCAGGGAUUCCAUCACGUCAAUGGGACCAAGUGAGAAGGAAGUAGCAGAUUGUGCAGGGAGCUACAAGGACUCCUCCAAGAAGAUGUGAUGAGACACAGAAGAUGUUAUUCACCAAGAUUCCAGAGGUUGAGGAGGCAGACCGGCCAGAGGAGGAUACGGGACGAGCAUUCGGAGCGGAGAGCCUGGACUCCCCUUUGAGGGAGGUCACUCGUUGGGAGAGAAUGUCUUGGUUAGGAGGUGCACAGUGAGGGGUGCCGAACAGGUGGUCAGGCUGCGCGGGCAGCCCCCUUAGGGAAGCCUCCAGAUGCCAGAUGGAGUCACCGGCUAGCCAGGCGAUUCACUCAAGUGGAGCAUUCUGGAGGGAUGCCAAGGGGCCAGAUCUGAAACCCUGUCGGGGUUCCUAAUGGAGAAGGCAAGGAGGGAACUAGGAGGACGCAGACCUCAGGUGUUACUGAAGCCUGAGGUUGGCGUGUUCAUCACGGGGCUGUGAAAGUGAGAUUCAGGCCGCGUUUAAUGACGUUCCCAUCUGGUUCCAUACGGAUUGCAUUCCAAGAGCUGCUGGAGCAGAUGAACUCCGGGUCGCUGGGUUUUCAGUGACAAGUGUGUCAUCCAUCGGUGGUGCAUGGGGUUUUAUGUCGGGUGGGCGCCCAGAAGGCGUCUCCCCGUUCAGGCUGGGUGAGUCAGCCGCAGCAGGAAUCAGCCUCGCCUUCAGCGGGGACUGCGCUGAUGGUCCUCCUCCUCUGAGCCAUGGCCACCCCUCCCCCUGCGACACGAGCCCAGACAGGGCCCCUCACCGAGAACGCUGUACGGAAAUUGAAGUGGCGACUUCCCAGAACAUUCUGAACAACCGCUUCUCUGUCUCUCUCCUCCCGCAGCCCUCGUGACUAGCAAGCAACCCCCUUGGACUUUCUUGGUUUGAAUUGUACUCUGUCCGGAAGAAAACUCGAUUUGUCCCUCAGACUCCAUGUCACAGGAGCUGUCUGCUUCGGCUCACUCAGCGUCUCACUCGUCUCCGGUUCUGAAUACUCUCCGCAAGCCAAGUCCAGUGUGGACCGUUCGGAUGGGGGUGAGGGACGGCAGGGAUCGGAGAGAAUGGAAGAGUCUUUUCCCUGGACAAAUUCCUUUUCCUCAAAGCCAACAAGCUGACCUGUAAGAAGAUGCUCGAGUUCACUAGUGAUGUUAUGGAACCUGGGCUGGAUCGCCCGACGGAAGAACGAAGCGGCACCCGGAGCUCUUGGAGGACAGGAGGUGUAUUGAACGCCGGCGGGCUCAGAGGAGAGUGGUCUCCAAAGGUCUGAGCCCCGAGCACAAAGGGGGCAAUUUAUACACUUCUACUUCUGCCUACUUGGCACUUUAGGCACGUGCGCGAAGCGGGGCAGGGAGAAGAACCCGGAAGAGCCCCGGGGCAGGGGCUGGACUCGCUCGCUGGCUCGGUCGGCCAUCUCAGGACACAGAUUUUCCUUAGCAGUGAUCGGGAAAAUAAGAAGUGAAACCAAUGCCAUCUUCAUCUCUCAACCUGACAAUCAGGAGAAUGAGGUCCAGCCCCGGCGAGGCUGUGGAAAAUGGGGACUCGCCUACACCGUUGGUGGGUGUGACAGUGUCGGAACGAGGGACAGUGUAUGAUGUCGUAAACGUACUGUGCCCUUUGAGCUUGAAAUUCUACCUGCUGGAAUAUAUUGCAGCAGGAGCAAAGCCUCAUCGAUGCUCUAAGAGACAUGUUUGUGGAUGCUAUGGCUGGAACUGCUAAUGGCCUUUCUGCUGUCUAGUCUUUCCAUUUCUAACUACGUAUUUGGUGGUAAUUAUGUCAGUUAUGAAAGUGACAUGUCCCAGACCUUUGUAGGACAAGGAGGGCUACUGAAAUACAAGCAAGAAUUCAUCGGAUGGAACUUGAGGAAAGCCCUCUCACCCUUCCCCUCUUUUCUCCUUUGUGGCGUCUGGACCUGAUGGCUAGAGUCACAGCAGCCACUUUGUGACCUUGAGGAUGGACGCCACACACUAAGGAACAGAAAAAUACAAGAAGCCCGGGGCCUCAAUGCCUCAUAGAGUUAUCAUUCCUACCCUGAACUGUUUGCCUGCAGAUUUGUCCUGAACACAAGAGAAAAACAAGCCCAUGGUUUGUCUAGGUCACCAUGAUUGCAUCUGUCACCGGCAGCCAGUAUACAGGAGCCACUGCUGUUCGUGGUUUCAUGUUCCGUGGUCAACCACAGUCAGGAAGUAGAUGAUCCUCCUCCUGACGCACGCUCAGAGGGUCAGGAGUAGCCUAAUGCUACGUCUCAGUGCCGACAGCCCUGCCCUCGCAUCCCUCAUCACACGGACAUUUUAUCACCUCACAUCCUCAUAUGAAGGAGGAGGGUGGGUGCAGAACAGGAAGAUAUUUUGAGAGAGAGACCACAUCCACAUAGCUUUUAUACAGCACAUUGUUAGGACUGUUCUAUUUUUAUUAGUACUAUUGUUAAUCUUGAACUGUGCCUAAUCUGUAAAUUAAUCGUUAUCACAGGUCUGUGUGUACAGGAAAACACAUAGUGUCUAUAGGGUUCGGUACUCUCUGUGCUUUCAGGCGUCACUGGGGGUCUAGGAGCGUGUCUCCUGGGGAGAAAGGGGGACUUCUGUAUUCCUCACGGACACAGAUAUUGGUGGGAACCUUGUCUUAAAAUAGAGGAAUAAUGUAGGCGGUCUAAAGGUCCCUAGCUUCCCCUUUCCUGAGGUUUUCCUGAUCCGAGCCCCAUCUCCGUCGGCAAGACCCUGACCCUCAACCUCUUUCUCAUAGC
Molecule: long non-coding RNA, 3649 nt
Organism: Mirounga angustirostris (Northern elephant seal)
Lineage: Eukaryota; Metazoa; Chordata; Mammalia; Carnivora; Phocidae
Exons: 4
Source: RefSeq, a predicted model, not a curated record